UACGGAGGGUGCAAGCGUUAAUCGGAAUUACUGGGCGUAAAGCGCACGCAGGUGGCUGAGUCAGUCGAUUGUGAAAGCCCUGGGCUUAACCUGGGAAUUGCAGUCGAUACUACUCAGCUAGAGUAUGGGAGAGGGCAGUGGAAUUCCCGGUGUAGUGGUGGAAUGCGUAGAUAUCGGGGGGAAUACCAGUGGCGAAAGCGGCACCCUAGCGUUAGCCUGACGCUCAUGUGCGAAAGCGUGGGGAGCGAACGGG
Molecule: ribosomal RNA, 253 nt
Filed under: uncultured bacterium
Lineage: Bacteria
Description: partial 16S ribosomal RNA
Rfam family: Bacterial small subunit ribosomal RNA
Source: RNAcentral